UCUUUUACUCACACCAACGUGGCAAAUGAGUUGGAAUUGUUUUAUCUACAUGGCAAUUAUGUGGCAUUGGCAAUCAACUGAUUAGGAUGGGUGUCACCGGGUGACCCCUUCAAAUUUUCCAAAAUGACCUUUUAAAAUGGUAAAACAUGAGUCCGUGCCCUUCAAAUGCAAAAAAUAGUCAUGAGGGGUCAUUUAAAAUAAUACACUAAAGUUUGUUGGGCUACAAUGACAAUAACCCUUUAAAAAAUAAUGUAUUUGUUGGUUGACCUGGUUUGAAAAAUUACUUUUGUAAGUUUUUGUCACAAUAAUACUUUUGUGAGUUUUUUUAAUUACGUAAUUACAACAUUUUCAUAAAUGAUUGCAUGAUUGAUGUUAGAAACAUCGUUUUAAGUAAGUUAUGUAUUUUUUUUAAAAGAAAUUUUUAAAAACAUUUAAGACAACAACUCAAAUAACUCAUAUAAACUUGUAAAUCUUCGAGCAACUCAAAUAACUCAUCUAAACUAUUACAUAGCAACUACUUCAUCGACUUGUACCAUACACAUUGCAUGUUGUAUGGUUCCAACCGGAAAACCGGCACCAAUAUACACCUAAUGGUCCGGUCGACGGUCCAUUGAUUUCUUCCCAACCUGUUGCGUUUCCGAACAGGUUCCAGUUCCGGUUCGGUCAAAAUGCUAAACCCUACGUGGCAUCACUUAAAUUCUUAAAAAUAUUUCACUUUUUUUUACCAAUUUAUGCCACAAUUUUUAGCUUUUACCAAUUUUAUAACAAUGUGCCAUUUUUUACCAAUUUAUUCAACUUAUGCAAAUUAUGCGCCCUUCUUCUAACCGGUUAAAAAAUGUCCAAUAUUGCAUCUUUUGUUCCUAUAAUAUAUCUUUGUUGCAUAUUUCGUAUUAAGCACCACUAUGUUGCAUAAAUUGAAAAAAAAACAUAAAAUUUUGUUGAAUAAAUGUUCAUCUAGCCCUUAUUAUAUUCAUUAAAUUGGUAACUAAAGCUUCAAAAUUUGUUGAUAAACAAAGGGACAUCAUAACAAGAAUAGUGAAACUAAAAUGAUGUGUAACAUUAAAAAAAAACUUAUAUAACAUAGAAUAUGAGGAUCUUGCAAGACAAAAAUCAGUGAUAUCAAUAUUAUGACAAUGGACAAAUAGGUAAUUUGAGCUCCAAAUUUUGCCAAAAGUAGAAUAAUUGCAAUUUUCAUGGGAAAUCACAGUAAAGACAUUGUUACAAGUUUUAUGAGAUUGAGGAAAUAGAUUGUUCUCUUUCUUGCGAAAAACAAAAAUCUUGCCUAAUUUGAACCGUUAAAUGCAAGAUAUAGCAAUUUAUUUUUGUUGAUUUCUUUAUUAUAGCAUCAUACUUUGGUUUCUUCCUAUCAAACCAUUGUAUUUCAAAAGAUCUAAUCAACUAUACCAAUAUCAUCCAAACUACAAAGCAAUGAAAUAGUUUGAAAGUAUAAAUAAUAUUAUACUUGCAUAGAGACUAGAUCAUCCGUAACAAGAAUAAUGAAAGGUUCUUUUUCAAGAAGAUAAUCAAAAGAGUCAGAAGUAUGAACUCAGGUUCUUUUUCAGUUUUCAUCUCCAUUUUGCACUUCCAUGGCUUCAAUGGAGACUUAACUGUAGAGCUUAGUGAAUCCAGCUGCUCAUACCUGCAAAGAGUCGAAGGAGGAUAAUGCAUCUUUUGUUCAUCAUCUUAAUUACGAAACAAAAAACUAGGUUUUCAACAAACAAAUAUGAUAGGGAAAAAUGAACAAGGUAAAUAUUAUUAAUUUAUUUAGUAGUAAAUAUGAUUGGGAAAGAUGGAUAAGGUAAGGAGAUCGGAUAUGGUGGGGUUUGAUGAUCCCAACGUGCAACAGCUACCACAACUUUUAGCUUUCACUAUCCAUUUAUAACUUCAAAACAACAAAAAGAAAAAUAAUAAUAAUAACAAAAAGAAAUAAGAACAGAAAAAACCCACCGCCUCUCAGCUUCUCUCCGCCUCACCGGAAUCACCUCCUCCAGCUUUUCGCCGGCGGACUCCGUCAUCUGUGGGCUCUGCGUCUUCGCAUUUGGCGUCGCCGGUCACCAAUCGCAUAGCUCGUUAUCUUGUAACUUGUAAGUCAUCUCUUCUUUAUUUAUAUUUUUUUCUUCCACUCACAGGUUAAGUUAUAAUUUAUGAUAUUUAAGUUAACUAAAAAGUUAAAUCAAGUGAUCUCCUUUAUGACUUUAUCAGCAUUUUAUAUUAUAUAAAUAGUUUUAAAGUAUAUUAUGUUGAAUAUAAUAUUAGUAUUUUGUUAUAUCUAAUGUUAAAAAGGAAAAACCUGAGAAACAGAGAUAAAAAUCCGUUCAUCUUCUCCUAUCAUGUAAAACCAAAUAAACUUAAAGUAGACAAAAAAAAGACCCUAAUAUAAUGGGCUUCUACCUUAAUAAAUGAAAAUGACUUUGCCACAUGUCCUCUUCUCAUUUAUUUGAACACAUGGCAUUUUCUAGAAAUUAUAAAUUUUUCUAUUUUCCACUUGUCAUUUUAUUGUAUUUUUGAUUUUAUCAAAUUAAAAUCUACAUUUAAUAUAUAAGGUAAUAUAUAUAUAAAGUAUUUAUUAGAAAAUGGUUUAUAUAUGUAAUGUAUCUAAUGCAUUAAAGUCUCAUUAAUUUUAAUAACUCAAAAAAUUUCUUAUUUUUCUUAUAAAUUUAAAGUUUUCAAAUUGUUAAAAUUUUAUAUUUAAUUUUUUUUAAAUAAACCCAUGUAAUACAUGGGUCUCACACCUAGUUACUUANUAUAUAU
This 2751-nucleotide long non-coding RNA is filed under the name Lactuca sativa (garden lettuce). Its description in RNAcentral is "long non-coding RNA (LSAT_LNC004433)". The record is from RNAcentral. Lineage: Eukaryota; Viridiplantae; Streptophyta; Magnoliopsida; Asterales; Asteraceae.